This 706-nucleotide ribosomal RNA is filed under the name uncultured Lachnospiraceae bacterium. Its description in RNAcentral is "bacterial SSU rRNA". It matches the Rfam family "Bacterial small subunit ribosomal RNA", at positions 60 to 776 of the family's 1533-position model. The record is from RNAcentral. Lineage: Bacteria; Bacillati; Bacillota; Clostridia; Lachnospirales; Lachnospiraceae.
CACCUUAUUUGAUUUUCUUCGGAACUGAAGAUUUGGUGAUUGAGUGGCGGACGGGUGAGUAACGCGUGGGUAACCUGCCCUGUACAGGGGGAUAACAGUCAGAAAUGACUGUUAAUACCGCAUAAGACCACAGCACCGCAUGGUGCAGGGGUAAAAACUCCGGUGGUACAGGAUGGACCCGCGUCUGAUUAGCUGGUUGGUGAGGUAACGGCUCACCAAGGCGACGAUCAGUAGCCGGCUUGAGAGAGUGAACGGCCACAUUGGGACUGAGACACGGCCCAAACUCCUACGGGAGGCAGCAGUGGGGAAUAUUGCACAAUGGGGGAAACCCUGAUGCAGCGACGCCGCGUGAGUGAAGAAGUAUCUCGGUAUGUAAAGCUCUAUCAGCAGGGAAGAAAAUGACGGUACCUGACUAAGAAGCCCCGGCUAACUACGUGCCAGCAGCCGCGGUAAUACGUAGGGGGCAAGCGUUAUCCGGAAUUACUGGGUGUAAAGGGUGCGUAGGUGGUAUGGCAAGUCAGAAGUGAAAACCCAGGGCUUAACUCUGGGACUGCUUUUGAAACUGUCAGACUGGAGUGCAGGAGAGGUAAGCGGAAUUCCUAGUGUAGCGGUGAAAUGCGUAGAUAUUAGGAGGAACAUCAGUGGCGAAGGCGGCUUACUGGACUGAAACUGACACUGAGGCACGAAAGCGUGGGGAGCAAACAGG